Molecule: non-coding RNA, 27 nt
Filed under: Mus musculus (house mouse)
Lineage: Eukaryota; Metazoa; Chordata; Mammalia; Rodentia; Muridae
Source: RNAcentral
UUAAUUUAGGAUGGCUAGCCUCAGAUU